This 499-nucleotide ribosomal RNA is filed under the name uncultured Glomeromycotina. Its description in RNAcentral is "partial small subunit ribosomal RNA". It matches the Rfam family "Eukaryotic small subunit ribosomal RNA", at positions 591 to 1092 of the family's 1831-position model. Lineage: Eukaryota; Fungi; Glomeromycota. The record is from RNAcentral.
CCAAUAGCGUAUAUUAAAGUUGUUGCAGUUAAAAAGCUCGUAGUUGAAUUUCGGGGUCAGUAGGUCGGUCGUGCCACUGGUAUGAACUGGUCUCACUGAUUCCUCCCUCUUGUAGAACCGUGAUGCCAUUAAUUUGGUGUUGCGGGGAAACAGGACUGUUACUUUGAAAAAAUUAGAGUGUUUAAAGCAAGCUAACGCUUGAAUACAUUAGCAUGGAAUAAUGAAAUAGGACGUCUGUCUUAUUUUGUUGGUUUCUAGGAUGGACGUAAUGAUUAAUAGGGAUAGUUGGGGGCAUUAGUAUUCAAUUGUCAGAGGUGAAAUUCUUGGAUUUAUUGAAGACUAACUACUGCGAAAGCAUUUGCCAAGGAUGUUUUCAUUAAUCAAGAACGAAAGUUAGGGGAUCGAAGACGAUCAGAUACCGUCGUAGUCUUAACCAUAAACUAUGCCGACUAGGGAUCGGAUGAUGUUAAUUUUUUAAUGACUCAUUCGGCGCCUUACG